Molecule: long non-coding RNA, 601 nt
Filed under: Gorilla gorilla gorilla (western lowland gorilla)
Lineage: Eukaryota; Metazoa; Chordata; Mammalia; Primates; Hominidae
Description: lncRNA (ENSGGOG00000044644.1)
Source: RNAcentral
GGUUCCUCCCCUUCCUUAGGCCCAGCCAGAGAGGGGCCCUGUCUCUCUGCUCCUUUCCUCGCCGUCGCCCUCUCUCUGCCAGGCUCUCCUGUUCGUCCUCCAGGGGCCCACGCUAGCCCCUCACCUCCCCUGAAGCCUUUUCUAACCGCUGCGGCCUCCGUGGUCCCCCACGCCUGUGUUCCUGUAGGACGUUUACAGUUCACACGAUGUCUCAUCUCUCGGUAUAUGUCUCCCAGAAACGAAAAUGGACGGCCAUAUGUCACAAGAGAAUGAAAUUUCUGCUCCCAAUCCCUGUCUUCAGAGCUGACCUAGAAGCCAGCCACUCCACUCAGACGAUUACAAGAAAAAAACAAAGUAUUGUAGGUAAAAACAAUACAGCCAAGAAACGCCAUCUUAUGUUUAUACAUUUAGAAGCAUCCUUUGGAGCAGGAAGAACUUAAAUUCUAAAUCUCAAGAUAGCUAACACAGAUGCACUAUUCCAAGGAGCCAGCAAGGAAAAUACAAUCCUGCUUCUCAAACACAUCCCCUGGAAUUGGUGGCAAGUUAUCUUCAGAGAAGAGAAUUGUCACCAGAUUAAGAGAGUAAAGGACCCGAUGACAAG